Long non-coding RNA from Choloepus didactylus (southern two-toed sloth), 345 nucleotides. RefSeq lists it as uncharacterized. The transcript has 3 exons. The record is from RefSeq and is a predicted model, not a curated record. NCBI's taxonomy places the organism in Eukaryota, Metazoa, Chordata, Mammalia, Pilosa, Megalonychidae.
CUGUUUUGUUUACUGUGAUGUAUUAGCACCUAGACUAAUGUCUGACAUUAGUAGGCACCAAAAAAUAUUUGUAAAAUAAGUGAAUAGAACCAUAGCAAUCAGAUCUUGAAGUUCCUUCUCAUAUCUAAUUUUAGAUUAAAAGUAAAAUAAAGAAAGAAGCAAUAUUAUGAAAGUAAACCCAGCAAUAAGGACUUAUCACUAAGAAGGCAUUCAGAGCUGAGACAGGAAUUAUGGUCAAAAUUGUGAAAUCUGGAUUCAGGAAAUUCAAACAAAGAUCAGAAGAUAUAUAUUGAAAUCUCACACUGUUCCAGGUUUUGAGGAAGGUACAUCACAUGAAGAACUUGC